AUCUUGUUAGAGAUCCCUGCUUAUCUGAGGCCUUCCAAAAGUGUUGCACACCAUGAGUGACAUGGCCAUUUCAUACCCAGGGAAGUGGGUGACUUCAUGCGAAUUUUGAUUACUGAGACUGUCUGCUUCUCAAAGAACAAAUGGCAUCAAAACUUAGCAGAAAAACCUAAAUCACACUGCAGUUUGAUGUAAUUCUAGGAACCCAGUCAAAACCCAGUAGUGAAAGCAGCAAGCAGAGUAAAUAUUAUUUCUGCCUAAAUGUAGGAGUCCACCCAAUCAAUUAUUCCUCGGUACAUCACUUCCAAAGAGUGAACAUCACUUACUAUAAUAAGUGCAAUUUAUAUUUUCAUGAAAAAAAAUGACACUUUCUGAAAGCAAGGAUCUAAAAUGCAUUUAUGUAUUUAUGCAUGCUUCACUUACAUAAAAAGUGCUUAGCAUACUCGAUGUUAAUAGCAAAGCUUCCGCUGACUAUAUUGAUGUAUAUAUUUUUGACACAUAUGCAAAUGCACUACCUGACUUGUGCAUACCAAGCAGGGAGUUUGAGCUCCAGCUUUCUGGGGCAGAAAGUGCUUUUAAUUGGUUGUGAUGCAUAGAACAGAGAGCCUGACAGUGCUAAUCAAAAGUUAACAAGCAGGAAGGAUUUGUUCUUUGAAAGCUGAAAUUUCCAAGUAACCAUUCGUACUUAAUCCACUUGGAGAUAAGGAGGGGAAGAAGGAUUUCAGCUGGACUUCGGUGACCUCUUCAAAAGAUUGUCAGACAUGUUUUUGCUCUCCCAGCGAGACAGGCGUAGUUCUGGCCUCGUCGGGGACACAGGCAUAGGGAACAGACUGCACAAAAGCAAAAGUGGGAAAGAAGUUUCAUCCCGUUUCUCUAAGCUGACAUGUUUUGCUGGAUGGCUGCCAGCCGCAUGCCAGUGCCUCACUGCGUAUUGUUUGGGAUUUGCUGCUUUCAGCACAAAGUGAACAGUAAUGGAAGCUUUCGGUGUGUUUGAAGAUUAAUUUCACAUUAAUCGCAACAAAGCUGAAGUCAACAAGCUGAAUUUAAUUACUACCCUGACAGCUGGGAGGCAAUUAAUGCCCUUAAACUUUCGAGAGCUCCCUUGCUUGUAUUUUCCCCUUGUCUUCAUACUAAUUAGAAACAUGCUUCAGGGUACAGCUGACCAUGGUGUUAAAUUAGCACCUUGUCAUCAGAACCAGAAAAACUCCCAGUUAGACACCAGCUCUUUCACCAGAUCAAGAAUUGAGGCCAUCUCUGAACAGUAUGAGCCCAAGAAUUCUGCUAACCUGUCUGUCUUAUGGUAUCAGCUCCCACCAUAUUCAUCCUCUGGGGCAUGUAACUAAAGGAAUAUCCCAUUUUGACUGCAGCAGGGAUUCUUUUUAUCACUUUAAAACCUUUCAGAUUUCCGUAUUGAGUAGUAAAAAGCAAAAAAAGCUUUGCAAAAGGAAAUUAAUGUGCC
This 1456-nucleotide long non-coding RNA is filed under the name Gallus gallus (chicken). RNAcentral describes it as "lncRNA (ENSGALG00010017031.1)". Lineage: Eukaryota; Metazoa; Chordata; Aves; Galliformes; Phasianidae. The record is from RNAcentral.